UACGGAGGGUGCGAGCGUUGGCCGGAAUCACUGGGCGUAAAGGGCGCGUAGGUGGCCGAGCAAGGUCGCGGUGAAAGCCCGGGGCUCAACCCCGGGUCGGCCGUGGCAACUACUGGGCUGGAGCACUGUAGGGGCGGGUGGAAUUCCGGGUGUAGCGGUGGAAUGCGUAGAGAUCCGGAAGAACACCGGUGGCGAAGGCGGCCCGCUGGGCAGUUGCUGACACUGAGGCGCGACAGCGUGGGGAGCAAACAGG
RNAcentral lists this ribosomal RNA (253 nucleotides) under uncultured bacterium. RNAcentral's name for it is "partial 16S ribosomal RNA". It matches the Rfam family "Bacterial small subunit ribosomal RNA", at positions 524 to 776 of the family's 1533-position model. The record is from RNAcentral.